This 253-nucleotide ribosomal RNA is filed under the name uncultured bacterium. RNAcentral describes it as "partial 16S ribosomal RNA". It matches the Rfam family "Bacterial small subunit ribosomal RNA", at positions 524 to 776 of the family's 1533-position model. The record is from RNAcentral.
UACGAAGGGGGCUAGCGUUGCUCGGAAUCACUGGGCGUAAAGCGCACGUAGGCGGCUUUGUAAGUUAGAGGUGAAAGCCCGGGGCUCAACCCCGGAAUUGCCUUUAAGACUGCAUCGCUUGAAUCCGGGAGAGGUGAGUGGAAUUCCGAGUGUAGAGGUGAAAUUCGUAGAUAUUCGGAAGAACACCAGUGGCGAAGGCGGCUCACUGGACCGGCAUUGACGCUGAGGUGCGAAAGCGUGGGGAGCAAACAGG